Molecule: transfer RNA, 65 nt
Filed under: Nasutitermes sp. B TB-2017
Lineage: Eukaryota; Metazoa; Arthropoda; Insecta; Blattodea; Termitidae
Also listed under: 1 other name
Description: tRNA-Thr
Source: RNAcentral
GUUUUAAUAAUUUAACAAAAAUAUUGGUCUUGUAAAUCAAAAAUAAGGAAUUACCUUUUAGAACU